Molecule: transfer RNA, 72 nt
Filed under: Sphaerodactylus townsendi
Lineage: Eukaryota; Metazoa; Chordata; Lepidosauria; Squamata; Sphaerodactylidae
Description: tRNA-Ser
Rfam family: tRNA
About the family: Transfer RNA (tRNA) molecules are approximately 80 nucleotides in length.
Source: RNAcentral
GGAGCUGUGCUUCAAUAGUACAACAUCUGCUUUGAUUGCAGAAGGUCCCAGGUUCAAUCCCUGGCAUCCCCA